This is a long non-coding RNA of Osmia bicornis bicornis, 4553 nucleotides long. RefSeq lists it as uncharacterized. The transcript has 3 exons. Lineage: Eukaryota; Metazoa; Arthropoda; Insecta; Hymenoptera; Megachilidae. The record is from RefSeq and is a predicted model, not a curated record.
AGCUCUGAACGCUGCCCUGUACCAAUUAAUCUGCCGAAAGAAAUCACUCUCUAUUCAGCUGGAUUUAUUUUCUAUUUUUAAAUUAUGUAUUUAAUGGAUACAGUUUUUAUCUUCAUUACUUAAGAAAUAACUGGACUUGAACAACUUAGCACUUUAGACACCCUGUACAUAUUAACACGCGGAUGUACGGUGCUUCCGCUGGAAUACGAUAGUAGGCUAGAUUCUUUUUUGCACGUAGACAGACUGGUACCCAAGUACUUUCAUAGGAUUUUAAUGGAUAUUCAACUUUCUUCUGCUCGUUUUCUAUGCAACAUUUCUUAACAAAUUUGUGUUAAGUUACAAGUGUUAUUUCUUACAAAAUGCCAAUUGUAAUUCUGAUCUCAAAAAUCCGCGAUGACAAUAAUUUACAUUUUUAUCUUAUCGCCUAAAUAAUUCAUGGCCGCGUUUUGUUUGCCGUUGAAAGUUUUGCAAAAAUCUUGUUUAGAGUGAAAAUCAAAUUUAAGCCCGAUGCCUCGAGUUCUUCUCCCGUUUCCUUACCGAUAAUUCGUCCUCUUAUCAGCGGCAGAUAAGCGAACGAGAAAAGUAUUGGAUUGCGUGUGCGUACUUUGUUAUGAUUUACGAGCGUUCGUCGAACGUCAGAAAACGCGAUGACCGCGUGGCGUUCGCCUCUGAAAAUAAUCGAGAUCUCGAACGUCAGCGAUGAGUCGUCGCGUUAUAUCGAUCCUGACCCGAUUACCACUUCGAUGCUCGAUCGAACUUCGAUCAUCGUAUUAAUUAAACUUUCCAUUUUCUCGCCUUCUUACAACUUCAUUUUCAUGCAAAUGAUAAUUAGAUUCUUCUUUAACAUAUUUUUUUUUUUUUUUUUUUCUUGCCGAUCAAUUUGCGACGAGAUUUUGCGAGUCUGUUUCCAUGGAGAGACAGGAAUCGCGAGCAAAGCGACCUUGACUGCUAUUCCAUCGAUUGCAUAAUCUUUUUCAACGGCCGUAGAAACGGUACACGCUGUAGUACAGUACUAAUCACGGCUCCGAUAAGUCCGAUAGAUCAUCGGUGCUUCGUUAGAUAAUCGUUAUUAAUUAGUCGAUAGUUGGUGAUAAUACAAAGUCUUUAGAAGGCGGGUUAUCGUAUGCGUCAUACGCUAUCUAUGUAGGGUAAGCACCGACGCACCGGGUGCGUCAUGUACUUAUCCACGUAGGGAAAUCUCGAGCGUGAAAUUUUUUUGCAGAUCCAUAAAACAUCGAGUAAUUCCACGAUGUAUCGUGCAUGCGCGAACUUCUGACAAGCCGUUAUCCGAGGAGAGACCUUGCGGUUCCGAUUGAACACACGUAGCGCACGUGUCACCGAGUUGAACAGAUUUCGAUCGUUUCCGAAUACGAGUUGUUCGCCGAUUCGUCAUUAUCUCACACGCGUGACCGCGUGACUGCUUUUCCAUUUCACAUCCCGUCGAGAUAAUCGCGUUCUAACCAUGGAAAUAACCUCCGUACCGUCUCGAGAUGUUAGAAAUUGAUUUUCAAUUAGUCAAAAGUUUCCAUUAAAAGUUUCCGGUGUUGGAAACGAGAGAUAGCGACAGGCAACCUGUCGAUUCAAUUACGUAGAACGCGAAAUUAUCUGAACGGUCGGUUGUUGCUGCCUCGUUAUUACAGCUAUCGAUGCGAGCUUAUAAAGAAUAACGCGGUGUUGCGUGACUCGUGAUCGUGUUUCCACGUUAACGAUCGCUCCUUGGAUCAUUCGUCACGAUCCAAGGAUUUACGGCUAACUCGAUCGGCAUCGAUCCUGCGAUCGAGCAGCCGCGUCGAAUGGCUCGGUUCGAUGUCCUCGAUUAAAUCUUCGAUGCCGAGCAACAUGUAUUUUUAAAUUCGUCCACGAUUUACGAGCCACCGCUGCCACUCGAGCUCGAUACACUUUUUCUUUUCAUCUUUGUUUUUCACCUUCGAAAAUGGGUUAACGACUUGGAAAUAUACGUGCCCCAGAAAGUUUGAAAACUUUUCCUCUAUAACGUUCGAUAAUUAAUUGAUUCGAUCAGAAGUUUGUCAAGGGUGUAAUUGUCGGCAGAGAAAAUUUUGUCCUUUCUAUUUCUUGCUCUUUGGAAGAUUUUCAGUUCGAAGUGAAUUUAAUUUUAGCGUCUAAGAUUUGUGUUUAUUAAAUUUUGAAUGUUGAAGAGUUAUUCGUGGUUAUUGAAAGGGAAGCGUAGUAAUGUUUCUAGACUUCCUAUCGCCCAAGGAAGCCAGCUUUUCCCUGAUGUCGGGGUCGUAAGCGGUCAUAAAAGGGGACACGCGUUUAUCUCGAUCCCUAACGGAGAUUAGUUUAAUCUCGAGGGAGUGAACGUCCGCGGUUUUGCGCUUCCUUGGAAAAAAUUGCACCCGGGGAAGACGGUUAUCGUAAUUGGAGCGAGGGUCAGGAAUAUGAGAGUUCAGAAAAUCAGAACAAUCAAUGUUAUUCAAAGUAACUUCCGGCAACUUCCACUUUAAAAAUGUAAUACUUUUCUAUUUCACUUUAUAUCAAAUCGAGAUUUUCAAUAUCCUCAAAAUUAAAAGAAAAUUAAUGGCGGUUGAAGUUCAGAAUAGCGCGUGUUAGAGGAUUUUGAUAAAAGCAGGACAUCGAACUCCAGAGCAGAGUGUCGCGAAAACUCACGAAAAGGGGAGCAGUCAGGGUAUUUUCGUUUCAACCGACCGGAAGACAACUCUCUCGGAUCAUCUGUCUCUCUUCCAACUUAAUUUCCCUCUCUUUCUCUCUCUCGUUCUCUUGUUUGUUUCUUUAAUUCCUUCCCUCCCAUAUAUAUUCGUCGCCAUUAUUCAGCUCGUUCUCUUUAUCUAUUUUUUUCAAAAUUAUUUUUCCUAUUUUUCUUUUCGUCACCACGAUUGGGUAAGCGGUAUGUCUGCUGAUACUAGCUCCAACGUGGGUCGGCAAUCGAACCAGUCGACUUCCUUAGCUGUUACGUUGGAUUUCGUAAUUUUCUGGUUUAUCUUUUUAACUGGCAAAGAUAAUUCUGCGACUCGACAAGCGUGCUUUUAGUGGAUCGCGAGCCGACUCGUGGGAAGCCUCGCAAAGCCUUUACUCAUCAGUGUUUCUUCAGAAAGUGUCUUUAGUUGAUUUCGUGCAAUCAAAUCGGUGGAUUAAUUAUUUCACAAUUUUUUUGAUAAAAAAGUUUGUACCCCAACGGCGGGCCGCCGCAGGUCUAUAAAUGUAGGGCGAGAGACGCAGCAGUGGUCAUUCUCCCCUGGGAUGCCUACGGGGAACGAUGGGAAGCAGGGGCUUCGCCAUUUUUCCUGGGAAAAUUAUAGAAAUUAUUGCUCACGUAUUACCAAGUAUUUCUUAUGCGAAGAGGUUAAGUCAGAAAUUCGUAGAACACAAUCACGUAUAAAAUAACGCGAUAAAACGAUGCUGUUUCCGCAACGUCACGCGAACAGCAUUCAUUAACUGAAAUUUUAUGCGUGUCAAUGGUCGCACACACAUAAUAGUCUCCCCUCUAAAAUUCUUCACCGUUCAGAUAACUUGUAUUCAAAAGUUGAUCAUUUAAAAAAAUUAUACGAUCACGAUUGUAUACUUUAUCCUUUUCAAAUCAUUCGAUAAUACUUUGUAAUAUCUUUAAUUGUUUAUUCUAAUAGAGAAACACGUGAUAUCGUGACAGAAAGAUAUUUUCUUUUCACGACAAAAUAUUCCAACGCGAUGAGCGUUCAAAUAUUAAACACUCUACUAUACUUGCAAAUCGAUUACUUGCGUAAUCACUGAUAAAUAAUUCAAACAAUCGCAUCUCGUGUAUUUAAUUAUCGUAAUAAUUUGUACGAGUUAUCGAUAUCGAUUCGGUCAUCGAUUCUCAGAAUUUUUGGAGAUUCGAAAUUAGAAGAAAUUCAAAUUACCAUAUUUAUUAAUAAUAAAAAUCAAAAUUUGAAUCUUAAUGUUUACAUAUAAAAUUUUUUAAAAUUGUAAGAUUGUUUGUAUCACUCCUAUCGAUGCUUAUCGCUCAAGUGCAUGCAACAGAUUUUUUUUUCCAUUGUUCUUUAAGUCUCCUUCGUUCGAAAGACCGUAGUCGUCACUAAAAGCGAGAAAGACGUCUAUUUAACUACAUAGAGCGCGCGAAAUCGGUGUUUGCUAAUCAAGAAUGGCUGAAUGACGAAUUCGCGACGCAGACGCUCGCGCCGCGCCGCCUCUGCGGCAAGUGCAACGAGGAGUGCGCUCGUUCGACGAUACACUAGCCAGUGCUCGUGCAACAUUUGCGGGGAUAAGUGUCGGUGUACAGUGGAAAUUGUGUGUCGUUCAAAACUUUAGCCGGAAAGCGUCUCUAAGAUUUCAAACAAAUUCUGGGUCGAAAAUUUAAAAUUGCAAUUUUCUUCGAUAAAAACGGAAGGAAAAUCAAAUUCCCUAGUGACUGUUAGUGACAGUGACUAUUUGUUUUGAAUGUGUCUCCGUAGAAAAUAGUGAUUUUUUUGUGUAAACCUUUUCAAUAAACAUCGAUUGUGAUUGUAUCCGUUUGCACUGACAAUGACAUCUCUGAUGUGUCAGAGUUAGUUACGCUUAUUUUGUGAAUCAGCCUCUCUCAGAUUUCUCUCGAUUCUCAU